Molecule: transfer RNA, 77 nt
Filed under: Alphaproteobacteria bacterium
Lineage: Bacteria; Pseudomonadati; Pseudomonadota; Alphaproteobacteria
Also listed under: 2 other names
Description: tRNA-Pro
Rfam family: tRNA
About the family: Transfer RNA (tRNA) molecules are approximately 80 nucleotides in length. Their secondary structure includes four short double-helical elements and three loops (D, anti-codon, and T loops).
Source: RNAcentral
CGGAGUGUAGCGCAGUCUGGUAGCGCAUCUGCUUUGGGAGCAGAGGGCCGGGAGUUCGAAUCUCUCCACUCCGACCA